This 253-nucleotide ribosomal RNA is filed under the name uncultured bacterium. RNAcentral describes it as "partial 16S ribosomal RNA". It matches the Rfam family "Bacterial small subunit ribosomal RNA", at positions 524 to 776 of the family's 1533-position model. The record is from RNAcentral.
GACGUAGGAUGCAAGCGUUGUCCGGGUUUAUUGGGCGUAAAGAGUUCGUAGGCGGUUUGUUAAGUCUGAUGUUAAAGACUGGGGCCCAACCUCGGACGUGCAUUGGAUACUGGCAGACUGGAGUGCAGUAGAGGCAAGUGGAAUUCCCAGUGUAGCGGUGAAAUGCGUAGAUAUUGGGAAGAACACCGGUGGCGCAGGCGACUUGCUGGGCUGUAACUGACGCUGAGGAACGAAAGCUAGUGGAGCAAAUGGG